AUAUAGAGGCUGGCGACCGGCAAACGGGUGCGGAACACGUACACAACCUUCCUUGAAUAGGGGGAUAGCCCAUAGAAAUGUGGAUUAAUACCCCGUAAUAUAGCGGUGUGGCAUCACACUGUUAUUACAGUUUCGACGAUUCGAGAUGGGUGUGCGGCUGAUUAGGUAGUUGGCGGGGUAAAGGCCCACCAAGCCUUCGAUCAGUAGCUGAUGUGAGAGCAUGAUCAGCCACACGGGCACUGAGACACGGGCCCGACUCCUACGGGAGGCAGCAGUAAGGAAUAUUGGUCAAUGGACGCAAGUCUGAACCAGCCAUGCCGCGUGAAGGAUGAAGGUCCUCUGGAUUGUAAACUUCUUUUAUAGGGGGCGAAAAAAGGUCUUUCUAGAUCACUUGACAGUACCCUAUGAAUAAGCACCGGCUAACUCCGUGCCAGCAGCCGCGGUAAUACGGAGGGUGCAAGCGUUAUCCGGAUUCACUGGGUUUAAAGGGUGCGUAGGCGGGUAGGUAAGUCAGAGGUGAAAUCCUGGAGCUUAACUCCAGAACUGCCUUUGAUACUAUCUAUCUUGAAUAUGGUGGAGGUAAGCGGAAUAUGUCAUGUAGCGGUGAAAUGCAUAGAUAUGACAUAGAACACCUAUUGCGAAGGCAGCUUACUACGCCUAUAUUGACGCUGAGGCACGAAAGCGUGGGGAUCAAACAGGAUUAGAUACCCUGGUAGUCCACGCCCUAAACGAUGAUUACUCGACGUAUGCGAUACACAGUAUGCGUCUGAGCGAAAGCAUUAAGUAAUCCACCUGGGAAGUACGACCGCAAGGUUGAAACUCAAAGGAGUUGGCGGGGGUCCGCACAAGCGGUGGAGCAUGUGGUUUAAU
Molecule: ribosomal RNA, 870 nt
Filed under: uncultured bacterium
Lineage: Bacteria
Description: bacterial SSU rRNA
Rfam family: Bacterial small subunit ribosomal RNA
Source: RNAcentral